CCACGAACAAUUAAGCAGAGCCCAGUGAGCAAUGCCUGCAAAUUGCAGCAUCCUCAAUACUGUACGCAGCCUGUUGUUUGCAUGGGUUGCCCGAAGGGACCUUGGAGGCAGCU
Molecule: small nucleolar RNA, 113 nt
Organism: Molossus molossus (Pallas's mastiff bat)
Lineage: Eukaryota; Metazoa; Chordata; Mammalia; Chiroptera; Molossidae
Product: small nucleolar RNA SNORA70
Exons: 1
Source: RefSeq, a predicted model, not a curated record